RNAcentral lists this long non-coding RNA (8991 nucleotides) under Malus domestica (apple). RNAcentral describes it as "long non-coding RNA (MDOM_LNC004129)". The record is from RNAcentral. Lineage: Eukaryota; Viridiplantae; Streptophyta; Magnoliopsida; Rosales; Rosaceae.
UACUUACAGAUAAUAUUAUUUCGGCGUUUAUCAAGACAUGUUAUUUUUCGAAUGGUUGUUUUAUAUCCCUGUUGAAGAUGCAAACAUUUCAACACAAAUUCGUUUGACAAAAAAAAAAAAAAAACGAAAAAACGGGGUUUUUGUUUUUUAAAUUUGGCACUUAAUUAAUCUUCUCAAUUCAGUGAGAUUAAAAAAAUAACUCACUUGUUAGUUGUGACAAAUUCACCACAUAACAAACUCAUAUUAGAGUACGGUUUAUUUUUUAAUACGGGACACAAAUUUAUGAUCGGCUAAUGCCAUUGAGGCAAUAAAUUAGUUGAAGAGAGAACCUCAACAACUAAAAAAUUAGUUAAUCCCAUUCAUAUUAUUUUUUUCGUCCUCAAACUUGCCCUUCCGAAUAAGUAAACAUGUCAUUUCUUCUUAGUAAAACUUUAUAAACUGUUUGUACCAUACUUGACCAAUCCCGAAACUACCGAGCACCGGCCAACGCUAUACUGUCAAGGACCCAGAAGAGUUCCCCUCCGACCAGGAGGCCAAUCACUACUCGACACGUGUCAAGAUUAGAAGCCAAUCAGAGCGCAGCACGUGUCGACAUCAAGAACCAAUCAUAACAUGACACAUGUCAAUGUGACAAAGCUACAAGUUUUUCUAUAAAUAGGGGUCAUUCCCCCACAAUAUUGCCUAAUGCCAUUUGUGUUAAAUCAUUCACAAGAACUCACUAAAUUGAGAGCUUGAUCCCUUGUACUUGUGUAAGCCCUUCACUACUAAUAAGAACUCCUCUACUCCGUGGACGUAGCCAAUCUGGGUGAACCACGUACAUCCUGUGUUUGCUUCUCUGUCUCUAUUCAUUUACGUACUUAUCCUCACUAGUGACCGAAGCAACCAAGCGAAGGUCACAAAACCUGACACUUUCUGUUGUACCAAAGUCUUCGCUGAUUUUGUGCAUCAACAUUUGGCGCCGUCUGUGGGAAACGACACUUAUUCCUACUCUCUUCAGCUGUGUCAAGCUGGUUUCUAUCAUUCGUACACUUUCUUUUGAUCAGGCAUCCCUCUCCAGCAUGGGAAGCGAAGGAAGCCACAGCACACAGAAUGACACCCCCCUUGCACAUAGUGCGAAACAACGAAAGAAGGAAGGAAAACGAGUCUCUUCUUCAAGCUAAAGUCGAUGAGUUGGAAGCUCAGAACAACAAGAUAGCAAUGAGGAAUGAGGUCCUCCAGGAGCAAUAUGAGAAGCUCUUCGAGACACUUCACGAAGCUAGGCAAGCUCAGACACGCGAGCUUGUUGCCCCCGUGGAAGUCAACCAUCAACUGGGUGCCCUCCAACAUGGAGGGUCACAUGCAUUCGACAUAGAUAUCCCUGAUAGGGAACAAAUUACCCCUCGAUUUGAUAAUCAACAUGAGGCUUCUCUUAACCUAGUUGCUUCGACCCGAACCAUGAGAAGCGGAGGGAGACACCUCUUUGUUGAAGGGGCAGAAGGAUCGAAAGCCGUCUUUCGCGAUUGUCGGGAUUUCCUGAAGCAACGUCGAGAGAAUUCCAUCCAUAUAAGCUCAAAGAUCAAUGACCCAAGGAUUUCUGAGAGACUCGGUCCCCUGCCACGGCCCGAGCCGGCCACCAACUUGGGGGAAGGUGCAACAAGUCCUAGAGAGACAUGAGGGUACAGGGGACUCAGAGGUGUUCCGACAGACAUACCCUGGAAGCCAGUACAGCGAGUCCAGGGAAAAAUCACAUGCCCUUGAUCAAACCUUCCUAAUUCCAAGAGGAGAUGGAGAUUUACGAAAGAAAACUCCAGUGGCACAUAACUCCGCUCAGGACCCCCUUGUCCUACAACUUCUUGAGGAAGUAAACAAGUUGAAGGCUGAACGUCAGGCUGAAAUACCUGAUUGGAACCAACCCAGGCCUGGCCCUCUUACAAGGAGGAUCCUCAACACCCCCCUUCAAGCAAAGACAAAGCAGAAGCUUGGCUUGCAACUUUAUACUGGAAAAGAGGACCCGAUUGAGCACCUUAACCUCUUUGAGUCCACCAUGGCAUACCGGAUGCACACCGACGAAGAGCGAUGUCUUCUCUUCCCCUCCACCCUCUCUGGCGGAGCUCUAAAUUGGUAUUGUCGUCUUACACCUGAGACGGUAGACUCAUUUGAGGAAUUGAGGAAACUAUUUGUUUCCCAACACAUUUUCCAAACCGAUCGCUUGCACUCUGCAGAUGACCUGUACACUAUCCGCCAGAGGCCAGACGAGUCAUUACGUAUGUAUGCUGGCCGCAUCAGCCAUGAAUACUCCCGGUGUGCCGAGGCAGACGACAAGACUGCCCUCAAAGCCUUCACGGCAGGCCUACGUGAUUGUUUUCUUUAAAUACAUGAUCAUGAUGCAAUGCCAAUACUUGGAAGACUUACUCUGAGGUGAUGGCGCAGGCUUAUAACCAUGCCUCCGCCGAGGCAAAGACAUAUCAGGAGAAACCCCCUCACCCAACGCCAUGGAGGAAGAACUAGCAAUAGCUAAAGUUUGACGGUUGGGAAGAUCAUCCAAUGUUUCUCUAGUACAGGACUCUAACAAAGACCCUGAAGACUCCGACAUUGCAGACUCAGACUUAGAGCUAAAGCUAGAAGAGCCCUCAUCACUAGAACUUCCAGGCUCUGACAUCUACAAUAAGAAGAAACAAAUUCUAUCACUACAUGCAUGAUCAAAACCGUGUCAAGCGCCCAAAAAAAAAAAAAAAAAAAAACAGCUUCACCCGAAAAGCUUCACUCCAAAAAACUUCACCCAAAAAGCUUCAUCCAAAAAGUUUCACCCAAAAAGCUUCACCUAAAAAAGCUUCACCAAAAAAAAAAAAAACUUCACCUCCAAAAAGCUUCACCCAAACAGCUUCACCUAAAAAAGCUUCACCCACAAAGCUUCACCUAAAAAGCUUCACCCACAAAGCUUCACCCAAAAACAAAAAGCUUCACCUCCAAAACUUCACCCAAAAAGCUUUCAUCCAAAAAGUUUCACCCAAAAAGCUUCACCUAAAAAAAGCUUCACCCAAAAAAAAAAAAAAAAAAACUUCACCUCCAAAAAGCUUCACCCAAACAGCUUCACCUAAAAAAGCUUCACCCACAAAGCUUCACCUAAAAAGCUUCACCCAAACAGCUUCACCUAAAAAAGCUUCACCCACAAAGCUUCACCCACAAAGCUUCACCCAAAAAACUUCACCCGAAAAGCUUCACUUAAAAAAGCUUCACCUACACAGCUUCACCUAAAAAAAGCUUCACCUAGAAAGCUCCCUCUACAUACUUUCACCUACAAAGCUUCACCAUCAAAGCUUCACCUCGAAAGCUUCAUCUACAUAGCUUCACCAUCAAAGCUUCACCCAAAAAGCUUCACCUAAAAAAGCUUCACCCAAAAAAAAAAAACUUCACCUCCAAAAAGCUUCACCCAAACAGCUUCACCUAAAAAAGCUUCACCCACAAAGCUUCACCUAAAAAGCUUCACCCACAAAGCUUCACCCAAAAAACUUCACCCGAAAAGCUUCACUUAAAAAAGCUUCACCUACAAAGCUUCACCUAAAAAAGCUUCACCUAGAAAGCUUCACCUACAUAGCUUCACCCAGAAAGCUUCAUCUACAAAGCUUCACCAUCAAAGCUUCACCUCCAAAGCUUCACCUACAAAGCUUCAACACAAAACCUUGCUCCAAAUAAACAAAUUUUGUUCACAAAACCCAAGAUGCCCUUGAACUUGUACAAAAACACUUGGGUAAACAUAAACAUUUUUUGUUUUACACCCACAAGGGCCCAAAAUUUUCCUUCUUAUUUAUUCACUUAUAUAUGUUCCCAAACAUAUUUAUAAUAGAUCCAACAACAAGCCAAAGUCCCAAGUUUCAUAAUGGACAAAAGUACAAGCAAUUCAUCAAUAAUGAAGGUGCUACAAAACUUGGAAUCUGCCCCAAAAAUAGAAAUCCAACCCAAGAGACUUUUUCUCUCUCUCCCUCUUUCCGCCUCCUUUCAUCUAUCAAAUUUCUGCAACCUCUGCUCUUCUCCAAUGGAGCUGAAUUUUGGACACCCUAUAGUUUUUGAGCAUAUGAAACAACUUUCAAGAAGGAACCAUUUCUGUUUGAGCGACGGCAAAUUAAAGUGUUGAAGCUCCAAACAUGACAGUCGGAUUCUUGCAGAUUUCGAAGCUGCUAUGAUGUGUUUCGAAGAUCUGGAAAUAUUUAACCAUUAGUUCAUUCUGAAUUUUUGAUAUGUUAUGAAAGAGACGAUGAGGCACAACUUCAAUGAAGAAAGCAUGCUGAUCUGAACAAUAGAAAAUGGAGUUUCGAAGCUCACAACAAAUCUGACGGGUUGACAGAAAAAUAAUAACCAGUCAUUCAUCAUACCUAAAUUUCUUGAGUUAUACAGCUCCGAGGGAUCUCAAAUUUGGAUAUGUUGUAGUUCACAAGCUGAGGAACAACUUCAAUGAAGAAAGCAUGCUGAUCUGAGCAAGAGAAAAUAGAGUUUCAAAGCUCACAACAAAUCUGACGGGUUGACAGACAAAUGAUAAACAGUCACUCAUCAUACCUGGAUUUCUGGAGUUAUACUGCUCCGAGGGACCUCAAAUUUGGAUAUGUUGUAGUUCACAAGUUAAGGAACAACUUCGAUGAAGAAAUUAUGUUGAGAUGAACAAGAAAAAAUGGAGUUUAGAAGCUCACAACAAGUCUGACGGGUUAACAGAAAAUUGAUGAACAGUUACUCAUCAUACCUGAAUUUCUGGAGUUGUACUACUCUGAUGGAUCUCAAAUUUGGAGAUGUUGUAGUUCACAAGAUAAGGAACAACUUUCAUGAAGACUACUUUGCGAUCUGAGCUAUAGAGAAUGGUGUUAUCUUGCAUCCACUCAGGCUGAUUAGUGGAAACGAAAAGCAAUUCCACCAAAGAAAAGAUGAAAAAGAGAGAAAAGCUACUAAUUGCACUUGAUCUUGUCUAGUCAAUAGCAUGCAGCAUCAAACACACAAAAGUUGGAAAUAUUUUUAGACAAGGCAUAUGCGAAUGUGUGACAUCGAAACAAGGAUUCGUUACUUUGACAAAUUAGUAACAAGCGAGACACCUCAUUCGGCAACUCUCUUCGCCUGAAGACUUGGGGGACUCCCACCAUAUUGCUACUGCACCUUAAUACUCGGCAGUCUCACAACCACUCAGUGACUUGGAUUUUUCAAGUCUCCAACCGAGAAGUUUUCCUCACUCGGGAAAUUAAGGGAACACUACCUCAAACUACAUGCUUCACUCACAAAGCUUCAACAAUACAGGUUUCAACAAAAGCAAAAAUUCAAAGAACUUUAUGAAGAAGGCUUUGGUGUAUUUAACACAAUAUAUUGAAAUGAAGCAAAGCUUAUUUAUUAAUAUUUUUCGAUAAGCCACAAAUAUGUACAUAUACAUGAGUCAAAAUAAACAAACAAAAGGGAGCCUUCACAAAGGUUGCUUAGGGGAAGUCUCAGCAGUCGGUAGAGCCCCAGAAAGAGAAAGCACCGGAGGGUGGUUAUCCGGAGCCUCAGUACUUGACAAAACCCCAGAAGGAGAAGGCAUUGGAGGUUCAUCAUUUGAAGCUUCAUUACCAGGUACAGCCCCAGAGGACGAAGGCAAUAAAUGCCUUUGGAACAAACCCACAAACCGCUGAUGAUCAAGUAAAACCUUACCAUCAGAUUCCUUCAUCUGGUCAAGCUUCCUCUUCAUGUUUGUAGCAUAGUCAUGGGCGAGCCGGUGCAACUGCUUAUUCUCAUGCUUGAGCCCUCUAAUCUCCUGUUUGAGACUCAUCACUUCAGCAGCCAAUGAUUCAACUUGACGGGUUCUAGCAAAUAGGCGUUGGGCCAUAUUAGACACAGAACCUGCACACUGAACACUAAGAGCCAGAGAGUCCUUAACAGCCAACUCAUCAGACCGUUUGGAAAGUAGUCUGUUAUCUUUGGGAGUGAGAAGGUUCCUGGCCACCACUGCAGCGGUCAUAUCAUUCUUCAUCACAGAAUCCCCAACGGUAAGAGGACCAGUAGGGGAUAUGAAGGAUGGGCGCCAUAUGUUGUCUGGAGAAGGCGUGGCUGUCUCUUCUCCAAGGUUCAGGUCAAAACGACGGUCGGAGGGUCCAGACAUUUUCAAAUGUGUUGAAGAAGGAAGAGGUCAGACAAAUCAAGAUCUUAGAAGUGCAAGAAAUGAGCUUCUACUGGUAGAGAUUCAGGUGUGCUGUGGAACUUAAUGCCAGCCUCUAUAAAAAUCUGCACUCGACGGAGCUUCAGAAAUCGAAGAGGCGUUUGCUUUCUCAAAAGCUGGGCUGCUCAGAGACCACGAGGGCCGAUCUCAGAAAUCGAAGAGGCGUUUGCUUUCUCAAAAGCUGGGCUGCUCAGAGAACACGAGGGCCGAUCUCAGAAAUCGAAGAGGCGUUUGCUUUCUCAAAAAGCUGGGCUGCUCAGAGACCACGAGGGCCGAUCUCAGAAAUCGAAGAAGCACCUGCUUUUUCAGCCUCGUCAGCACCUGUCACAUGCACAAUCAGCUUUGCGGAAAUUACGGGCAAUCUGUCGAAAAUUUCUGGUGAAGUAAAAAGCACGUGAAUCUUACUGUUCAAUCACCGCUCUCCAUAUGCACCAUCAACUCCUCGGGUACCACAUAUAACUUUGUCAAAGAUCUCUGACAAAGUUUAGGCACGAGAAAUUUCGAAGUUCCAGCUACCCUACUAUUACCCAUAAGGGUAAAGGAACAGCACCACUGCUUGACAACUGGAAAGUCCCUAUGUGUGUCGACCUCCGUGUUUUGCGGCAAGACAGGUUGGCAAGAACGUCCAACCUUUACUCACAUUCGAGAAAAGACUCCCAACAUAAUUACUUUUCUCAAAAACCGGAGUAGCACCGCUUUCCGAAUCUCGAGAGUCAGAUCCUCGACGGGAUUGCUUGUUCGAAACCGAAGAGGCACAACUCUCAGAACUUCGAGAGCCAGAUUUCCUUAGAUAAAGCUUGUCUGUAAUCUUCACACGUAAUAUCAGCUUUCCAGAUACCACAUACCACUUUUUCAAAGUGCUCUGACAAAAUUAAAACACGUGAAGCUGGCAACUCCCACUACAUUGCUGUGACCAAGAAGGGUAAAGGAAUAGCAUUACUACUUGUUAUUGGGAAAUCCCUAUAUACAUUGACCUCCCUCCUCAACGGACAGGCAAACCUGCAAAAAUGCUCAACCCUUUCUCGCAUUCGAAAAGGCACCCUCAACAUAAACUCUCGAAAUACUCAGCUUUAUUUCCCCCCGAUAAUACCUCAGCAAAUAAGCCACACCAAGAACAAGAGUAUCUCAUAUCAUCAGGGUCGAAAGCAAGAGUAUCUCAUAUCAUGCUUUCUCCCUAUCUUUGUCUUUGUCCUUGUCCACACCUGCAGGACAAGGAGAAAGAGAGCAGUCAGUCGGAACCUGAAAUCAAACCUCCAAUUUGGAACUGACUGCCUGAAGCCUUUGCCUGGUUGCUUACUUAGCAUUGCUCUCGAGUACUCAUCCUCAACUGCUGUCAAGGUCACGAAUUCCACCGGCAAAUACCUCAUGACAGUUGAUCAGAUAUUGGCUCUUUACACUGAAGCUGCCAAGCGUGGAUGAGUCACUAUGAAGGAAUGUUCUGAAGGACCAUUUAAAUGCAAAGGUUGCACACCACUUCUGCCAUGCAAAAGAUUGAAGCAGAAGGUUCAACGGUGAGUUGAUACAGAUCACUACAGCACGACACCUUUCCAUACCACAUUCAUUAUUCUGUCAACAACAAAAGUAUCCCAUAUCAUCAAGGUCGAACAUACUCUAGAUUUGAUGGACUUGUUUUGACCCUCAAAUUUUUGAGUCGGCCUUAUACUCUGAAGGGCACCAGAAAACCCUCCAGCACAGUUCAAGAAUAAGCCUGUGGAAAGUUACUUCUUCAAAAGCAAAAGUAUCUCAUAUCAUCUCUUAUCCAUUUGCUUCUCCUUAUCCUGGCAGUUGAAUGAGAGACAAGGAGAAGGAGAACAAUCAACCGGAAGCCGAAGUCAAACCUCUGAUCCUGGGUUGCUUACUUGGAAGUUUGACUGCUUACCUUGUCUGUCACCUCUUUCGGCAGAUCUCUCUAGCUCGGCGACUUGGGGGACUCCUACUAUAGGGUUUGUAUCACACUUGACUAAGCCCGAAACUACAACUAAGCUUCAAGUGAAAUUGAUACAUUACCUUGUGCGUCAACAUCAGCUAAAUACACCAUUCCCGGAUGGAGGAAAGGUACUUCCAGAGAAGGGCAGAUGAAGAUCAGACCACACUUCGGUACUUAGAAUUUCGUGAUUACUCAAGGGAUUGGAUCUUGCAAGUCCCCAACCGAGGAGUUUCCCUCACUCGGGAACUUAGGGGAGCACUGUUUGUACCAUACUUGACCAAUCCCGAAACGAAACUACCGAGCACCGGCCAACGCUAUACUGUCAAGGACCCAGAAGAGUUCCCCUCCGACCAGGAGGCCAAUCACUACUCGACACGUGUCAAGAUUAGAAGCCAAUCAGAGCGCAGCACGUGUCGACAUCAAGAACCAAUCAUAACAUGACACAUGUCAAUGUGACAAAGCUACAAGUUUUUCUAUAAAUAGGGGUCAUUCCCCCACAAUAUUGCCUAAUGCCAUUUGUGUUAAAUCAUUCACAAGAACUCACUAAAUUGAGAGCUUGAUCCCUUGUACUUGUGUAAGCCCUUCACUACUAAUAAGAACUCCUCUACUCCGUGGACGUAGCCAAUCUGGGUGAACCACGUACAUCCUGUGUUUGCUUCUCUGUCUCUAUUCAUUUACGUACUUAUCCUCACUAGUGACCGAAGCAACCAAGCGAAGGUCACAAAACCUGACACUUUCUGUUGUACCAAAGUCUUCGCUGAUUUUGUGCAUCAACAUAAACUAUAUUUUAAACAUGAUAGUUCAAGCAAAUUCUGAACAUGUUUCCACUUCCACACAAGCAAAUUCUGAAUAGCUGCUUCUCCUGCAUGGAAGUAAAGCCACUCAAAAUUUUCUGCAAUCACGGCAGCUCACUCAGCCG